This 1738-nucleotide ribosomal RNA is filed under the name uncultured eukaryote. Its description in RNAcentral is "partial small subunit ribosomal RNA". It matches the Rfam family "Eukaryotic small subunit ribosomal RNA", at positions 174 to 1735 of the family's 1831-position model. The record is from RNAcentral.
AAAUCCUGACUAGUAAUGGAAAGGAUGGAUUUAUUACAUACAAAAACCAAUGCAUUAAAUUGUUAAAGAUUUAAGUGGUCUUUAUUGGUGAUUCAUAAUAACUUUACGAAUCGUACGGCCUUGUGCUGACGAUAAUUCAUUCAAAUUUCUGCCCUAUCAACUUUCGAUGGUAGUAUAGAGGACUACCAUGGUGGUAACGGGUAACGGAGAAUCAGGGUUUGAUUCCGGAGAAGGAGCCUGAGAAACGGCUACUACUUCUAAGGAAGGCAGCAGGCGCGCAAAUUACCCAAUCCCGACACGGGGAGGUAGUGACAAAAAAUAACAAUAUCGAUAAAUUAUUUUAUUGAUAAUUGGAAUGAGUACAAUCUAAAUCCCUUAACGAGUAACAAUUGGAGGGCAAGUCUGGUGCCAGCAGCCGCGGUAAUUCCAGCUCCAAUAGCAUAUAUUAAAGUUGUUGCAGUUAAAAAGCUCGUAGUUGGAUUUUAAAGUUUUAUAUUUUGCGCCAUAAUUUUUAAUUAUGUGUUUUGUUGAAAUAUCCUUACUAGAUAUUCACAAUUAUUUUUAAUUAAAUAGUUGGUUUUAUUCGAAAGGAUAAAAUGCUUAAUAGGUCUGGGAAUUAAGAUGUGGUUUAUUUACGAGGCAACUUGUUGAAUAAAUCUGCUUAAUUAACUUCUAUUAAGUAGAAUUCUAGUUCAUUUACUUUGAGUAAAUUAGAGUGUUCAAAGCAAACAAGCAUUGUUGUUAUGAAUACUAUUAGCAUGGGAUAAUGGAACAGGACACUGGGUCUAUUUCGUUGGUUUUUAGAUCUAAUGUAAUGAUUAAAAGGGAUAGUUGGGGGCACUAGUAUUUAAUUGUCAGAGGUGAAAUUCUUGGAUUUAUUAAAGACUAACUUCUGCGAAAGCAUUUGUCAAAGAUGUUUUCAUUAAUCAAGAACGAAAGUUAGGGGAUCGAAGACGAUCAGAUACCGUCGAACCAUAAACUAUGCCGACCAGGGAUUGGACGUCGUUUUAUUUUUAUUAAAAAGAUGACACCUCCAGCACCUUCUUACGAGAAAUCACAAGUUUUUGGGUUCUGGGGGGAGUAUGGUCGCAAGACUGAAACUUAAAGGAAUUGACGGAAGGGCACCACCAGGAGUGGAGCCUGCGGCUUAAUUUGACUCAACACGGGAAAACUCACCAGGUCCGGACACAGUUAGGAUUGACAGAUUGAGAGCUCUUUCUUGAUUCUGUGGGUGGUGGUGCAUGGCCGUUCUUAGUUGGUGGAGUGAUUUGUCUGGUUAAUUCCGAUAACGAACGAGACCUCAGCCUGCUAAUUAGUUGUAUGAAUAAUAACAAUUAUGGGUGGUUUGGUCGGAGAGGAUUUAUUUUCUUUGAUUGAUAUCAGAUGCUGGUAAAACAGUAUUUUUACUUCUUAGAGGGACACUUGGUGUUUAACCAAGGGAAGUUUGAGGCAAUAACAGGUCUGUGAUGCCCUUUAGAUGUUCUGGGCUGCACGCGCGCUACACUGAUACAAUCAACAAGUACAAAAGACCUUGGCUGAAAAGUCUGGGUAAACUUAUGAAAUUGUAUCGUGCUGGGGAUCGAUAAUUGCAAUUAUUUAUCGUGAACGAGGAAUUCCUAGUAAGCACAAGUCAACAGCUUGUGCUGAUUACGUCCCUGCCCUUUGUACACACCGCCCGUCGCUGCUACUGAUGGUUGGUCCGGUGAAAUCUUAGGAUUCAGAAUUGUUGCUAUUGAUU